Molecule: ribosomal RNA, 253 nt
Filed under: uncultured bacterium
Lineage: Bacteria
Description: partial 16S ribosomal RNA
Rfam family: Bacterial small subunit ribosomal RNA
Source: RNAcentral
UACGUAGGGUGCAAGCGUUGUCCGGAAUUAUUGGGCGUAAAGAGCUCGUAGGUGGCCUGUCGCGUCGGCUGUGAAAACUCGGGGCUCAACUCCGAGCUUGCAGUCGAUACGGGCAGGCUAGAGUUCGGCAGGGGAGACUGGAAUUCCUAGUGUAGCGGUGAAAUGCGCAGAUAUCAGGAGGAACACCGGUGGCGAAGGCGGGUCUCUGGGCCGAUACUGACACUGAGGAGCGAAAGCGUGGGGAGCGAACAGG